RNAcentral lists this long non-coding RNA (268 nucleotides) under Panax ginseng (ginseng). RNAcentral's name for it is "long non-coding RNA (PGIN_LNC004324)". Lineage: Eukaryota; Viridiplantae; Streptophyta; Magnoliopsida; Apiales; Araliaceae. The record is from RNAcentral.
AAUGCUCAUCCUUGCUUAAACUAAAUGUUUUCAGUUACGUACGAUCGACCUGAAGGCUCAGGCACGAACAAGGGAAAAGAAAAGCUAUUCGAAUGAGAUUUAGUAUGAGUUAAUGGUUAUAGUUAGUAAGACAAUGGAAUCUAUUGUUAGAUAUUGUAAGGAAUGUAUUUGAAGGUCACGUACCUGGGGAAGUAAACUUUGAUGUAUGUAAAUUAAGUUCGAAUGUAUUAUUAUUUAGUAUUAUUCAGCUUAAAGAAAUGGUAUCGUG